This 750-nucleotide ribosomal RNA is filed under the name uncultured bacterium. RNAcentral describes it as "bacterial SSU rRNA". It matches the Rfam family "Bacterial small subunit ribosomal RNA", at positions 90 to 857 of the family's 1533-position model. The record is from RNAcentral.
ACUUAGUGGCGGACGGGUGAGUAACGCGUGGAUAACCUGCCUUACACUGGGGGAUAACACUUAGAAAUAGGUGCUAAUACCGCAUAAGCGCACGGAGCCGCAUGGCUCAGUGUGAAAAACUCCGGUGGUGUAAGAUGGAUCCGCGUCUGAUUAGCUGGUUGGCGGGGUAGAAGCCCACCAAGGCGACGAUCAGUAGCCGGCCUGAGAGGGUGACCGGCCACAUUGGGACUGAGACACGGCCCAAACUCCUACGGGAGGCAGCAGUGGGGAAUAUUGCACAAUGGGGGAAACCCUGAUGCAGCAACGCCGCGUGAGUGAAGAAGUCAUUCGUGAUGUAAAGCUCUAUCAGCAGGGAAGAAAAUGACGGUACCUGAGUAAGAAGCCCCGGCUAACUACGUGCCAGCAGCCGCGGUAAUACGUAGGGGGCAAGCGUUAUCCGGAUUUACUGGGUGUAAAGGGAGCGUAGACGGCCAGACAAGUCUGAAGUGAAAAUCCAGCGCUUAACGUUGGAAGUGCUUUGGAAACUGCCGGGCUAGAGUGCAGGAGGGGCAGGCGGAAUUCCUAGUGUAGCGGUGAAAUGCGUAGAUAUUAGGAGGAACACCAGUGGCGAAGGCGGCCUGCUGGACUGCAACUGACGUUGAGGCUCGAAGGCGUGGGGAGCAAACAGGAUUAGAUACCCUGGUAGUCCACGCGGUAAACGAUGAUUACUAGGUGUCGGGGGGCUAGAGCCCUUCGGUGCCGUCGCAAACG